GACGAACGCUGGCGGCGUGCUUAACACAUGCAAGUCGAGCGGAGCGGCGAACGGGUGAGUAACGCGUGUGUAAAUGCCCCCCUCCCUGGGAUAACAGUUGGAAACGACUGCUAAUACCGGAUAGUGGGGGAUGACUCGCGUCAUAUCAGCUUGUUGGUGGGGUAGUGGCCUACCAAGGCGACGACGGGUAGCCGGCCUGAGAGGGCGACCGGCAACCGGGCGCUGAGGUACGGCCCAAACUCCUACGGGAGGCAGAGGGGGGGAAUAUUGAACGAUGGGGGAAAACCUGAUGCAGCAACGCCGCGUGCGGGAUGACGGCCUUCGGGUUGUAAACCGCUUUCAGCCAGGACGCGGUAGUGGCAGAAGAAGCACCGGCUAACUACGUGCCAGCAGCCGCGGUAAUAC
This 405-nucleotide ribosomal RNA is filed under the name uncultured bacterium. RNAcentral's name for it is "partial 16S ribosomal RNA". It matches the Rfam family "Bacterial small subunit ribosomal RNA", at positions 28 to 526 of the family's 1533-position model. The record is from RNAcentral.